RNAcentral lists this ribosomal RNA (253 nucleotides) under uncultured bacterium. RNAcentral describes it as "partial 16S ribosomal RNA". It matches the Rfam family "Bacterial small subunit ribosomal RNA", at positions 524 to 776 of the family's 1533-position model. The record is from RNAcentral.
UACAGAGGGGGCAAGCGUUGUUCGGAAUUACUGGGCGUAAAGGGCGCGUAGGCGGCCUUCUAAGUCGAACGUGAAAUCCCUGGGCUCAACCCAGGAACUGCGUCCGAUACUGGUUGGCUUGAAUCCGGGAGAGGGAUGUGGAAUUCCAGGUGUAGCGGUGAAAUGCGUAGAUAUCUGGAGGAACACCGGUGGCGAAGGCGACAUCCUGGACCGGUAUUGACGCUGAGGCGCGAAAGCCAGGGGAGCAAACGGG